AAAUUCAAAAAACUUGGCGGUUUUUUAGCCUUAUUAGAGGAACCUGUAUCAUAAUCGAUAAUCCACGAUUGGAAUUACUAUAAAUUAGCUUAUAUACCGUUGUCAUAAGAUAAUUUUAUAAGAUUUUAUCUAGAAUUAUAAUUUUAAAAGAUGUCAGAUCAAGGUGUAGCUGUAUUAUAGAGAAUAUGGGUUACAAUAUCAUAAGAUACACGAAUUUUGUUUAUUAAGAAAUAAAUGAAGGAGGAUUUAAAAGUAAAUAAUUUAUGAAAUAUUGAGUAUAGCACUAGAAAAUGCACAUAUCGCCCGUCGCUCUUGUUUAAAAGUUAAGAUAAGUCGUAACAUAGUAGAUAUACUGGAAAGUAUCUCUAGAAAGUUUCUAUUUAAAGUUUAAGAAAAUUUAUUACUUACACUAAUAAGAUUCUGUGCAAUUCAGAUAAAUAGAUAAAGAUUUCUUAAAUUUUAAAAAUUAGAGAAUUAAUCUUUUUCCAAUAAUAAUUAUAAUUUUAGUAAAAAAAAAUAAAUAAAUUUAUAGUGUAUUAGUACUGUAAAGGAAAGUAAAUAAAUUAAUUAAAAGAAUAAGUAAAUUUAGUACCUUUUGUAUCAGGGUUUAUUAAAUAUUUAUAAAUAUUUAUAAUUCUCGAAAAAUAGUGAGUUAAAUUUAUUUUAUCUUAACAUUAUAAAGUUAAAUACAAAAUGAAUUUGGAAUAAAAAUUAUAGUCAAUCUAUUUAAUAUCUAGUUUCUCAAGAAAUAAAUUUAAUUUAGUCUUUGUAUAAAAAGAAAAAUUAUUUUAAGGAUAAACUUAAAAUUAAAUUAAAACCUCUAUAAAAUUUAAAAAAAAAAUUCUUAAAAGUGGAAAAUUUUAAAUAUUUUUAAUCAGAAGUGAAUAAAUAAAUUAAUUUAUAAUUAGGUUUAAUUUUAUAUUGAGAGAUAUAUUUUAACAAAAUAAAUAUAGCCAAUAUGAUAAAAUUAGUAUAAACUUUUAUAAAUUUAAAGUAAUUUAAAAUUAUAAGAAUGAACUCGGCAAAUAUUAUUUUCAAAUGUUUAUCAAAAACAUUUUUUUUAGAAAUUGAUUAAAAAUAUAAUCUGCCCCCUGAAUUUUUAAGGGCCGCGGUAAUUUGACCGUGCAAAGGUAGCAUAAUCAAUAGUCUUUUAAUUGGAGACUUGUAUGAACGAUUGAAUGAAGGAUAAGCUGUAUCUUUAUAAAUU
This 1207-nucleotide ribosomal RNA is filed under the name Anisolabididae sp. NS-2016. RNAcentral describes it as "16S ribosomal RNA". The record is from RNAcentral. Lineage: Eukaryota; Metazoa; Arthropoda; Insecta; Dermaptera; Anisolabididae.